CACGUAGUUAGCCGGGGCUUCUUAGUCAGGUACCGUCAUUCUCUUCCCUGCUGAUAGAGCUUUACAUACCGAAAUACUUCUUCACUCACGCGGCGUUGCUGCAUCAGGGUUUCCCCCAUUGUGCAAUAUUCCCCACUGCUGCCUCCCGUAGGAGUUUGGGCCGUGUCUCAGUCCCAAUGUGGCCAGCCACCCUCUCAGGUCGGCUACUGAUCGUCGCCUUGGUGGGCCGUUACCCCCGCAACCAGCUAAUCAGACGCGGGUCCAUCUCAUACCACCUCGGUUUUUCACACUGGACCAUGCAGUCCCGUGCGCUUAUGCGGUAUUAGCAGUCAUUUCUAACUGUUAUCCCCCUGUAUGAGGCAGGUUACCCACGCGUUACUCACCCGUCCGCCGCUAAGUCAGCAAAGCUUCUUUCCGAAGAAUCCACUUUACCGCUUCGCUCGACUUGCAUGUGUUAAGCACGCCGCCAGCGUUCACUCCUGAGCCAGGAUCAAACUCUACG
This 502-nucleotide ribosomal RNA is filed under the name uncultured Lachnospiraceae bacterium. Its description in RNAcentral is "partial 16S ribosomal RNA". The record is from RNAcentral. Lineage: Bacteria; Bacillati; Bacillota; Clostridia; Lachnospirales; Lachnospiraceae.